AGAGUUUGAUCAUGGCUCAGGAUGAACGCUGGCGGCGUGCUUAACACAUGCAAGUCGAACGGAACUCUUUGGAUCGAGGCUUCGGCCAAGUGAAUCAGAGUUUAGUGGCGGACGGGUGAGUAACGCGUGAGGAACCUGCCUUUCAGAGGGGAAUAACAGUUGGAAACGACUGCUAAUACCGCAUAACGCAUAGAGACCGCAUGAUUUCUAUGCCAAAGAUUAUAUCGCUGAAAGAUGGCCUCGCGUCUGAUUAGCUAGUUGGCGGGGUAACGGCCCACCAAGGCGACGAUCAGUAGCCGGACUGAGAGGUUGGCCGGCCACAUUGGGACUGAGAUACGGCCCAGACUCCUACGGGAGGCAGCAGUGGGGAAUAUUGGGCAAUGGGCGCAAGCCUGACCCAGCAACGCCGCGUGAAGGAAGAAGGUCUUCGGAUUGUAAACUUCUUUUAACAGGGACGAUAGUGACGGUACCUGUUGAAUAAGCUCCGGCUAACUACGUGCCAGCAGCCGCGGUAAUACGUAGGGAGCUAGCGUUAUCCGGAUUUACUGGGUGUAAAGGGCGUGUAGGCGGGAUUGCAAGUCAGAUGUGAAAACUCCGGGCUCAACUCGGAGCCUGCAUUUGAAACUGUAGUUCUUGAGUGAUGGAGAGGCAAGCGGAAUUCCUAGUGUAGCGGUGAAAUGCGUAGAUAUUAGGAGGAACACCAGUGGCGAAGGCGGCUUGCUGGACAUUAACUGACGCUAAGGCGCGAAAGCGUGGGGAGCAAACAGGAUUAGAUACCCUGGUAGUCCACGCCGUAAACG
RNAcentral lists this ribosomal RNA (800 nucleotides) under uncultured bacterium. RNAcentral describes it as "bacterial SSU rRNA". It matches the Rfam family "Bacterial small subunit ribosomal RNA", at positions 8 to 808 of the family's 1533-position model. The record is from RNAcentral.